Molecule: unclassified non-coding RNA, 915 nt
Filed under: Hevea brasiliensis (rubber tree)
Lineage: Eukaryota; Viridiplantae; Streptophyta; Magnoliopsida; Malpighiales; Euphorbiaceae
Source: RNAcentral
CAACUGUCCAAAUUGAAAUAAUUGAAUCAAAUUAAAUUACAACUUCUACGUUCAAAGGUUAAGCCGUGGGGAAAAAAAUUACUUUUCUACUAAACAUUCAGUACAACAAAUACAAGCGAAGCAUCUGAUUGGAAAUUGGUUAGAGAUGGCCUCGUCCCACGCGCCUAACAACAAAAUGGAAAAUGGGAAAAAUUUAAUGAACAGAGCAUUGAUACAUAUUAAAAUGAACCACAUGUAACUGCAAUAUAUAUCUACAUACCUAUUACACUUCUACAAAAGCUACUAUGACAUGGAUGUGAGCUUGAGAAACGCUCUCCACCUGGAGUGGGAGGAGAGCUAGCUCCCAUCCACAAGAAUGCAUGAAUAAUCAAAUUGGGUAUCAAACUUUUUAUCUAAUAUCUAUAGGAUGAGCCUGAUGGUGGUGGUGCUGGUGGCAUCCGAGUGGGUGUGCGGCGACUGUUGUUUGUGCCUGAGCUUGCAUCACCAUUUUGAGGUGGAUCACUGUUUCGUCGACUGUGAGACCUAAAUGGUUCAGCACGACCAUUAGCUGCAGCGUCAAAUGCAGUCCUCCAAUCCUCCCCUCCGGCAGAUCCGCUUGUUCUUGGACUACUUUCUGCUCCACCACCAUCAUUGGCCCAGCUGGACGCAGCUGCUGCUCGAUUAUCAUGGAUGCUAAGUUGCCGUACAAGUUUUGAAAGAAGAGAGGACUGCUUCUGAUAACGUUCUCUCUUACGUUUUACAUUCUGGUCCUCCUGGAGCAGUUCUUCAAUCCUUGCGGUGCUUUGUGCACUAAUGGAACUAUAAAGCUGAUUAAGCAUGUCUUCCCUCGCUUUCUCGACUUGACAAAGGACAACUGCUUUGGGGACAUUGGCAGCAAGGCUGUUAAGAACAGCUUCAACAUAACCACGCACUUCU